RNAcentral lists this long non-coding RNA (268 nucleotides) under Trifolium pratense (red clover). RNAcentral's name for it is "long non-coding RNA (TPRA_LNC005602)". The record is from RNAcentral. Lineage: Eukaryota; Viridiplantae; Streptophyta; Magnoliopsida; Fabales; Fabaceae.
GGCCCAUGGGAGUAAUAAUUAUAGAGUAUUAUUGUAAAUUAUAAAAAUUUGUAUUGAAAACAAUUUUUUUCAAAUCCUAAGGACUGUUAUUUUUAAUUUAUUUUAUUUUUUUGGUUGAUAUACGCAAUGACAAAGUCAUUGAAAAUUCACACACACAAAGUGGACUGACCGAGGUUCGAAUUCCGGUUCUAACAUUCGACACUAACAAUAUCGGUAUUUCUGACAGUUGAACUAAGAUUUAUGGACUAAGAACUGAUAUUUUUAGAAU